This 478-nucleotide ribosomal RNA is filed under the name uncultured bacterium. Its description in RNAcentral is "partial 16S ribosomal RNA". It matches the Rfam family "Bacterial small subunit ribosomal RNA", at positions 28 to 523 of the family's 1533-position model. The record is from RNAcentral.
GACGAACGCUGGCGGCGUGCUUAACACAUGCAAGUCGAACGGUAAGGCCCUUCGGGGUACACGAGUGGCGAACGGGUGAGUAACACGUGGGUGAUCUGCCCUGCACUUCGGGAUAAGCCUGGGAAACUGGGUCUAAUACCGGAUAGGACCACUGCCUGCAUGGGUGGUGGUGGAAAGCUUUUGCGGUGUGGGAUGGGCCCGCGGCCUAUCAGCUUGUUGGUGGGGUGAUGGCCUACCAAGGCGACGACGGGUAGCCGGCCUGAGAGGGUGACCGGCCACACGGGGACUGAGAUACGGCCCAGACUCCUACGGGAGGCAGCAGUGGGGAAUAUUGCACAAUGGGCGCAAGCCUGAUGCAGCGACGCCGCGUGAGGGAUGACGGUCUUCGGGUUGUAAACCUCUUUCAGCACCGACGAAGCGCAAGUGACGGUAGGUGCAGAAGAAGGACCGGCCAACUACGUGCCAGCAGCCGCGGUAA